Molecule: non-coding RNA, 1322 nt
Organism: Pelobates cultripes (western spadefoot toad)
Lineage: Eukaryota; Metazoa; Chordata; Amphibia; Anura; Pelobatidae
Source: the annotation of a GenBank genome assembly
UAAAUUUAAAAAUGUAAACUAAUUAAAAUUCUAUACUAUAUUUAUUCUACGUAACCCAUAUUUGUAGGGUUUUACAGAUCUUAUAACAUCUCAAUUCAUGCACAAACCAGGAUCUGGCCAAGAAUUCUCAGCCAAUCCCAGGUGUCUUAUUAAAUCCUACUAUUGCAGCAGUUUCUCCUUUUAUUUUAAUUUUUUUUAUUAAUAACUGAGAUGUUGAUUGUGCAUACACUGAUCAGUUGGCUAACAAAGCAUCUGGUUUAUAAUUGUGUUUGGCAGUUCAAUUAAGUGUGACUUUUGUAAAUGUGAUAAGUGCACCUGCCUCUUUAUUUAGAUACUAGCUCUUGUUGAAAAUAAAUUAUUCUUAGAGAAUUCACCCCUGGAUCUUGAUACAAAAGUAUCUUAGCAUCGAAAAACACUUUAAAAAUGUUUUGUGUCUACAGCAGUGUUUCCCAAUUGGUGUUCCGCAGAACCCUAGGGUUCUGCAAGAACAAAAUUGGGGUUCCACAGUGAUCUGUCCAUCGGGUGGCCCAUGCAUUGCUGCACAGAGGCCUGGUCAGCAGCACGGCUGAUUAAUAGCGCAAACGGGUAUGUUUGUUGGGAGGAAGUGACAGACGGCUACUUCCUCCCAGCUUCAUGUAGAAUACGCAGCGCUGGAGGGAGAGAAGCAGCAGCCAGGAGUGAGCAGCUCCCCCCAAACACACCAGCCUCAGCAAAUCACCCUCCUUCAGACAACAGGUAUGCUAACAGGAGGGUGACUGCAUAUAUAUAUAUAUAUAUAUAUAUAUAAUGACGUGUGCGUAUUUGACAGUGUGUGUGUGUAUGUCACUGUGUGUAUUAAUGUGUCACUGUGUGUAUGUGCCACUGUGUAUGUCACUGUGUGUAUCUGUGUCAGUGUGUAUCUGAGUGCAUGCGCCAGUGUGUGUAUCUGAUAGUAUGUGUCACUGUGUGUAUCUGAGUGUCACAGUGUGUUUGUAUUGGUGGGUUAAGGUGUGUGCCUGUGUGUGUUGCAGUGUAUGUGUCACUGUGUGUCAGUGCCAGGUUGUGUAUCUGUGUGUAUGUGCCAGUGUGUCUAUCUGUGGGUCAGUGUGUUUCUGAGUGUCAGUGUGUGUAUCUGUCGGUGUGCGUGUAUCUGUAUGUUAAGGUGUGUGUGUAUCCGAGUGUGUGUGUACGUAUCAGUGUGUUUGUCUGUGUACGUGUAUCUGUGUGUAUCUGUGUGCAGUGCUGGAGGGAGAGAAGCAGCAGCCAGGAGUGAGCAGCUCCCCCCAAACACACCAGCCUCAGCAAAUCACCCUCCUUCAGACAACAGGUAUGCUAACAGGAGG